This 348-nucleotide unclassified non-coding RNA is filed under the name soil metagenome. Its description in RNAcentral is "partial contains 5.8S ribosomal RNA, internal transcribed spacer 2, and large subunit ribosomal RNA". The stretch from base 1 to 120 matches the Rfam family "5.8S ribosomal RNA", at positions 35 to 154 of the family's 154-position model. The record is from RNAcentral.
GAUGAAGAACGAAGCGAAAUGCGAUAAGUAAUGUGAAUUGCAGAAUUCAGUGAAUCAUCGAAUCUUUGAACGCACAUUGCGCCCGCCAGUAUUCUGGCGGGCAUGCCUGUCUGAGCGUCAUUUCAACCCUCAUGCCCCUAGGGCGUGGUGUUGGGGAUCGGCCAAAGCCCGCGAGGGACGGCCGGCCCCUAAAUCUAGUGGCGGACCCGUCGUGGCCUCCUCUGCGAAGUAGUGAUAUUCCGCAUCGGAGAGCGACGAGCCCCUGCCGUUAAACCCCCAACUUUCCAAGGUUGACCUCAGAUCAGGAAGGAAUACCCGCUGAACUUAAGCAUAUCAAUAAGCGGAGGA